AUGCUCGCUUCGGCAGCACAUAUACUAAAAAAUUGGAAAGAUACAGAGAAGAUUACCAUGGCCCCUGCACAAGGAUGACACGCAAAUUCGUGAACCGUUCCAUAUUUUU
RNAcentral lists this small nuclear RNA (109 nucleotides) under Mus spicilegus (steppe mouse). Lineage: Eukaryota; Metazoa; Chordata; Mammalia; Rodentia; Muridae. The record is from RNAcentral.